This 490-nucleotide ribosomal RNA is filed under the name uncultured bacterium. RNAcentral describes it as "partial 16S ribosomal RNA". It matches the Rfam family "Bacterial small subunit ribosomal RNA", at positions 355 to 837 of the family's 1533-position model. The record is from RNAcentral.
UAGGGAAUCUUCCACAAUGGACGCAAGUCUGAUGGAGCAACGCCGCGUGAGUGAAGAAGGCUUUCGGGUCGUAAAACUCUGUUGUUGGAGAAGAAUGGUCGGCAGAGUAACUGUUGUCGGCGUGACGGUAUCCAACCAGAAAGCCACGGCUAACUACGUGCCAGCAGCCGCGGUAAUACGUAGGUGGCAAGCGUUAUCCGGAUUUAUUGGGCGUAAAGCGAGCGCAGGCGGUUUUUUAAGUCUGAUGUGAAAGCCCUCGGCUUAACCGAGGAAGCGCAUCGGAAACUGGGAAACUUGAGUGCAGAAGAGGACAGUGGAACUCCAUGUGUAGCGGUGAAAUGCGUAGAUAUAUGGAAGAACACCAGUGGCGAAGGCGGCUGUCUGGUCUGUAACUGACGCUGAGGCUCGAAAGCAUGGGUAGCGAACAGGAUUAGAUACCCUGGUAGUCCAUGCCGUAAACGAUGAAUGCUAGGUGUUGGAGGGUUUCCGC